CCAUGGGCUCAACCCAUGAACUGCUUUCAAAACUGUUUUUCUUGAGUAGUGCAGAGGUAGGCGGAAUUCCCGGUGUAGCGGUGGAAUGCGUAGAUAUCGGGAGGAACACCAGUGGCGAAGGCGGCCUACUGGGCACCAACUGACGCUGAGGCUCGAAAGUGUGGGUAGCAAACAGGAUUAGAUACCCUGGUAGUCCACACUGUAAACGAUGAUUACUAGGUGUUGGAGGAUUGACCCCUUCAGUGCCGCAGUUAACACAAUAAGUAAUCCACCUGGGGAGUACGACCGCAAGGUUGAAACUCAAAGGAAUUGACGGGGGCCCGCACAAGCAGUGGAGUAUGUGGUUUAAUUCGACGCAACGCGAAGAACCUUACCAAGUCUUGACAUCCUGCGACGCACAUAGAAAUAUGUGUUUCCUUCGGGACGCAGAGACAGGUGGUGCAUGGUUGUCGUCAGCUCGUGUCGUGAGAUGUUGGGUUAAGUCCCGCAACGAGCGCAACCCUUAUGGUCAGUUACUACGCAAGAGGACUCUGGCCAGACUGCCGUUGACAAAACGGAGGAAGGUGGGGAUGACGUCAAAUCAUCAUGCCCUUUAUGACUUGGGCUACACACGUACUACAAUGGCGUUAAACAAAGAGAAGCAAGACCGCGAGGUGGAGCAAAACUCAGAAACAACGUCCCAGUUCGGACUGCAGGCUGCAACUCGCCUGCACGAAGUCGGAAUUGCUAGUAAUCGCAGAUCAGCAUGCUGCGGUGAAUACGUUCCCGGGCCUUGUACACACCGCCCGUCACACCAUGAGAGCCGGGGGGACCCGAAGUCGGUAGUCUAACCGCAAGGAGGACGCCGCCGAAGGUAAAACUGGUGAUUGGGGUGAAGUCGUAACAAGGUAGCCGUAGGAGAACCUGCGGCUGGAUCACCUCCUUUCUAAGGA
This 932-nucleotide ribosomal RNA is filed under the name Blautia wexlerae. RNAcentral describes it as "bacterial SSU rRNA". It matches the Rfam family "Bacterial small subunit ribosomal RNA", at positions 601 to 1533 of the family's 1533-position model. Lineage: Bacteria; Bacillati; Bacillota; Clostridia; Lachnospirales; Lachnospiraceae. The record is from RNAcentral.